GCCAUCUUUGUUAAGGGAGAGUGGGCCUGUCUCAUCCAUUGAAUUCACAAAAGAAAAGGGGCGUGAGGGAGGAGGUCUUUAGCUGCAAAGACAGAGACUCUAACACGCGUAACAAAGGCCCAGAGAUCCGAUCCAGACACAGAGCAAGGCAGAGACCCACAGAGGUUGGAUGAGGCAAUAAGAGAGCUGGGAGGAGAGGGAGAGUGGGGAAAGUGAAGGAUACUUUUUUUUCGGACAGUUACAGAGUCAGAGAGACCCAGAGAAAAGCAGAGAUAUAAACAAGAGACCAAAACAGUGGGAUUGAGAAUGUGCAAGGCUGGAGUGCAGCGCGAUCUCGGCUCACUGCAACCUCUGCCUCCCGGGUUCAAAUGAUUCUCCUGCCUCAGUCUCCCGAGUAGCUGGGAUUACAGUAUGAGGAUCUUGGCUUUUAGAUGGUCCCUUACCUGGUCCUGCUGCUCCUCUGCUUCAAGGUGUCCAUUCAUCUGCUGGUCCU
This 493-nucleotide long non-coding RNA is filed under the name Homo sapiens (human). Its description in RNAcentral is "novel transcript, antisense to SPHK2". The record is from RNAcentral. Lineage: Eukaryota; Metazoa; Chordata; Mammalia; Primates; Hominidae.